UGACCUACAAGCUCAGGUGCUCUUCCAC
Molecule: non-coding RNA, 28 nt
Filed under: Mus musculus (house mouse)
Lineage: Eukaryota; Metazoa; Chordata; Mammalia; Rodentia; Muridae
Source: RNAcentral